Frankliniella occidentalis (western flower thrips) is the source of this 386-nucleotide long non-coding RNA. RefSeq lists it as uncharacterized. The transcript has 3 exons. NCBI's taxonomy places the organism in Eukaryota, Metazoa, Arthropoda, Insecta, Thysanoptera, Thripidae. The record is from RefSeq and is a predicted model, not a curated record.
GGCAUUGGCAGGGUGCUGGCAAAGCGCGGGCGGUCUCGCACGGACUGGCAGCCCUGGCGGUGCUGCUCUGGCAAGAUGCAGCUGGCAGGUCACGGGCAGCUCCACAUUGGCAGGUAGGCGCUGGUAGGUCCCGAGCAGCUCCACAUUGGCAGGUUGGCGCUGGCAGGUCGCGAGCGGCUCCACAUUGGCAGUUAGGCGCUGGCAGGUCACGGGCAGCUCCAGAUUGGCAGUUAGACGCUGGCAGGUCACGGGAGGCUCCACAUUGGCAGUUAGACGAUGGCAGGUCACGAGCAUUUCCACAUUGGCAGUUAGACGCUGGCAUGUCACGAGCAUUUCCACAUUGACUGUCCCUGUUGAUAGGAGCCAGGCCGGUGUCCAUGUUGUGC